GGGACGGUGGCGGAAUGGUAGACGCACCAGACUUAAAAUCUGUUGAUCGUAUGAUCGUGAGGGUUCAAGUCCCUCUCGUCCUA
This 83-nucleotide transfer RNA is filed under the name Cyanophage S-RIM4. It matches the Rfam family "tRNA". Rfam says of the family: Transfer RNA (tRNA) molecules are approximately 80 nucleotides in length. The record is from Rfam by way of RNAcentral. Lineage: Duplodnaviria; Heunggongvirae; Uroviricota; Caudoviricetes; Pantevenvirales; Kyanoviridae.